GGGAAUGUGCUCAGUGGGGGAGCGGCGCCCCCUCCUCCCCACUCUCCCCCUAGCUAUGCUCCUGGAUUUUACAUCCUCCCCUCUUUGAGUGGUCAUCUAAGCACCAAAUCUUUUUCCAGCCACUGGAUGGCAACGAGAUUACUCCAACCAAUUGAUAUUCAAAGUAAGCCUUUGCCUUUCAUCUGGAUUUCCCCAAUUUAGCUGCUACCUGCAAGUGGACCUGAUUUAAAUGUUCUUGCAGAUUCUGCAGGAAGUGGCCACCAUUCCACAGAUGCAAGAUGCUGGACAGUUUUGUCCAGUCCCUGGUGUCCUCCUGUAGGAGUGUCAUGAACCAUGCACAUCAUUUCCCUCCGUAAGUGAGCUGGAACUACCCACACAGGGAAAGAACCUCCUGUAUACAUGAGAACUCCAUUCACUACCUGCAAAUGCUGCUCAUAUCUUCUGUACAAAGGACCCACUGUUAGCAACCCUUCUUCUGCCUUGGAAAGCUUUUGGAUUACUUUUACUGUGUCUUUAUUUGAUUUUUGCAUUUCUUUUAAAUGCGGUAUGUCAGCCUGUACAACUUUAGUUGUGGCAAUAGGGCAUUUGGGUAGUAACAAAAUAUUUCUGAUUUUUUUUUUCCAGAAUCCCCUGAUUGGGCUCCUUUUGGGGCUAAUUUAUCAGCCUUCCCAUUUUUUGUAGCAUAGGGUUCUAAUUUCCAGUGAGCUUUUAUUUUUUUAACUUUACUUGGCCACCCAGGGACAGUGAUUGUUACUGCUAACCAGUGGAUGUAUUUCACCAGCGAUGCAUACCUAAUAGGUGAGCCAUUAGAAGAUGUGAACCUAGUUGUCUCCCAACAUGGUAGAAACUCUGUAAGAGAAUUGCAUACCCAUGCAGAGUCUGAAAACAGACAGAUACUUUGGUAUGUGGCAGUGAUGGAGACCUGCACACAGUACUCCAAUUCACAAGCCACUGCUGCUAAAUCAGCAUAUUGAGCUGAAUGUGAAAUGCAUGAAUAUCCCUUUUCCCAAGGCUCUCCUUUCUCCUCAGAAGGAACUGCAUAGAUUCCAAACGCGAUAUAAGGUUUGUCUUGAUGGUAAUAACUAGAACAGUCAACAAAGAAAUGAUACCUCUUAACAAAAUCUAUCUCCUGGAUCAAUGGUCGGAAAAGCUUUUGUUUUUCCUCCCCCCUUAGAUCCAAUUGAUCAAGAUUGGGACACACAUGUGGCUCCCUUGGUACAGUAGGGCAGUUGGUAACAAAGAUAAUGUCCUAAAAGGUUUUACUGCAAUAUCUUUUCCUUGUAUCAGCAAUGCCCUAUUGGCUAGGCGAGCAUUUGAGACUUGCCCAUCUUUUACCCUGUUGGACAGUAAGAACUGAAGGGGAGUGUGCGAUGAGUGUAAUAUGAUCGGCUGAGGCCAAUUAGAAAAGUGUUGUAUGGCCCAACUGGUUGCCAAUAGGUACUUUUCAUAAUUGUCAUACUUAAGUUCAAUUGAUGACAUUAAACGUGAGGCAUAGGCCACAGGUCUGAUUUUCCCAUGUCUGUCUUGUGAAGCCACAGCCGCUAACUCAUUAACACUCACCACUACCUCCAGAUGAUAGGGUGUCUCAGGAUUUGGAGUGAUCAACACUGGAGCCUUGACAAUGGCCUGUUUCAGUUGGGAUACUGCUUCCAUGUGUUGCACAUUCCAUUUCCAUUGGACACUCUUCUUUAACAGUUGGUACAAGGGACCUGCAAUAGAAGCAAAAUUGGGAAUGAAAUCCCUAUGGUACCCAGUUAAACCCAAAAAGGAUUUUAAAGCCGUUGGGUCCCGUGAUAAAGGCAAUGUUUGGAUUUCAUCCACUUUCUGUUGCGCCGGGGUUCUACCCCAUUUUGUCAGGGUGAGGCCCAAGAAAGAGACACUGUUGGCCAUUAGCUGUGCCUUGGCUGGAUUGCAUUUUAGCCGUGCUUCCUUUAGGAUCUGCAGGAGCUCGUUAAACCUUUCCAGAUGCUCCUUCUUGGUCCGUGUUGCCAAACAAAUGUCAGAAACAGAACAGUUGGUUUAGAAAAUUGCGAUAGUACCCGCCUCAUUUGCGCAUGGAAUAAAACUGGAGAAUUUUUAAACUGGGGGUAAACGUGUCCAGGAAUAUUGGACCCCCUGGAAACUAAAUGCAAAACGGUACUGUGAAAUGCGGGCCAAUGGUAAUGUCCAAAAGCUGUUACUGAUGUCAAGGACAGUAAACCAUGUGGCCUCUGGAUCAAAGGACUUGAUUACAUCUGGCAUCUUGGCCACUGUAGGGGCACAAAUGGGUGUGACUUGAUUCAGGAAUCUGUAAUUAAUCGUGAGAUGCCAAGAACCAUUUGGUUUCUUCACAGGCCAAAUAGGGGAAUUAGAAGUGGAAGUACAUCUAGUAGUACUCCCUAUGUCAAUAAAGACUUGAUAGUCUUUCCUAUGUAUGGGUUCGCAUGGUCUGGGUAAGGAUAUUGUUUUUGGGCUGAUAUAUUUCCUCCUUCCACAACAAUAGUGACUGCCAUACAUUCACAAUCAUGUUUGUGUUUAGCAAAGGCAUCCGCAUGCUUGCGAAGUAGAGCCUGUAACUCAGGCUGGGCUGUAUGAUUAGCCACUAUUUUGUUCAAAUCAUACCGCUCAGGUUCAGAGUCCUCCACUGGAGACACCAUGCCACACUCAGGUAUGAUUACUUGUGAGUCAUCCUUUGCCUGUUCUACAGUAAGACACAACAAUUGGUUAACCAAAUCAAGAACACAUUCCUGUUUGUAUAAUAAAUCAGUUUCCAAUAGGCAAUUCCUUGGGUCUGCUAAUUUCAUUAACGCAAAGGUAUGAACCUUUCUUAGGUGACCUAUCUGUACUUCAGUGGGUUUAGAAAGUGUGGUAACAACCUGAUUGCUUGCAAAAGUUGAAAGUGUUUUUGUACGCCCUGAUGACAGAGAAGAGGAUCUAGGAGCCUUGACAUGGAUAAUACUAAUUGCUGCUCCAGAUUUUAUAAUAAAAUUCCUGUGGC
Molecule: RNA transcript, 2977 nt
Organism: Mauremys mutica (yellowpond turtle)
Lineage: Eukaryota; Metazoa; Chordata; Testudines; Geoemydidae
Gene name: probable G-protein coupled receptor 152
Exons: 3
Source: RefSeq, a predicted model, not a curated record